Drosophila serrata is the source of this 206-nucleotide long non-coding RNA. RefSeq lists it as uncharacterized. The record is from RefSeq and is a predicted model, not a curated record. NCBI's taxonomy places the organism in Eukaryota, Metazoa, Arthropoda, Insecta, Diptera, Drosophilidae.
AAAGAAUCGAUAGUCUCGUUAGUGAAAUCAAUUUUUUCACAGCUCUAAUGACACCUGAAGUAUUCACAAGUUUUUUGCAAUGUAAUUUAUUAAAUAUUUUUAAAGGACAGUGUGAACGGAAGGAGAUUGUAUAUCCAGUAUUUGUUUUCUUCUUAAUUGAUUGACGAGGCAACAGCCGGAAGGAAAGACACGUAACAUAAUUUUAG